UAUUAGGUUGGUGCAAAAGUAAUCGCAGUUUUUGCCAUUACUUUCAGUGGCAAAAACUGCGAUUACUUUUGCACCAACCUAAUA
Molecule: microRNA precursor, 84 nt
Filed under: Gorilla gorilla gorilla (western lowland gorilla)
Lineage: Eukaryota; Metazoa; Chordata; Mammalia; Primates; Hominidae
Description: mir-548 microRNA precursor family
Rfam family: mir-548 microRNA precursor family
Source: Rfam by way of RNAcentral